This 342-nucleotide long non-coding RNA is filed under the name Nicotiana benthamiana. Its description in RNAcentral is "long non-coding RNA (NBEN_LNC038000)". Lineage: Eukaryota; Viridiplantae; Streptophyta; Magnoliopsida; Solanales; Solanaceae. The record is from RNAcentral.
CUGAAUCAAGGACAGAUGAAAUGCAGGAUCUUUUUCAAAAUGAUAUGAGUGAGAAAAAACAAAGGAAACCACAUCAUGGCGGUAUGAAGAAAAAGUCCUCAUUCAAGAGCAAGUCGGGUAUGAAGAAGAAGUCCUCAUUCAAGAGCAAAUCACGGUAUGACUAUUAAAAACUUUUCUCAUUCUUAAGCUCAGAUGGAUAUGUAUGCGAAUCUGUCAAGAGUAUAACUUGCAUUUUACUAUUUUCCUUGAUUUAAUUUUAUAAAUUAUUAAAUUUAUAUUUAGAAAAGUAACUGAAUACUUAUAUAGGCCACGGUGAUGUAGACUCGAGACUGGGGUCUCAGU